This 330-nucleotide small nuclear RNA is filed under the name Ailuropoda melanoleuca (giant panda). RNAcentral's name for it is "7SK RNA". It matches the Rfam family "7SK RNA". Rfam says of the family: 7SK was discovered as an abundant small nuclear RNA in the mid-70s but a possible function has only recently been suggested. Lineage: Eukaryota; Metazoa; Chordata; Mammalia; Carnivora; Ursidae. The record is from Rfam by way of RNAcentral.
GGAUGUGAGGACGAUCUGGCUGCGACAUCUGUCACCCCAUUUAUCACCAGGGUUUGUUCAGCUGAUCUGGCCAGCUAGGUGGGUGUCCCCUUCCUCCUUCACGGCUCCAUGUGUAUCCCUCCAGAAGCUGCAGGUUCAGUCAAAGAGGACAACCUUCCCCAAUAGAGGAGGGCCAUUCUUUGCUCAAGGGUAUACAAGAAGCUGUGCUCCCUGCUAGAACCUCCAGACAAGCUCUCAAGGUCCAUUUGUAGGAGAACGUAGGGUAGUAAAGUUUCCAAGACUCCAGACACAUCCAAAUGAGGUGCCGCAUGUGGCAGUCUGCCUUUCUUU